GACGAACGCUGGCGGCGUGCCUAAUACAUGCAAGUAGAACGCUGAAGAGAGGAGCUUGCUCUUCUUGGAUGAGUUGCGAACGGAUGAGUAACGCGUAGGUAACCUGCCUUGUAGCGGGGGAUAACUAUUGGAAACGAUAGCUAAUACCGCAUAACAAUGGAUGACUCAUGUCAUUUAUUUGAAAGGGGCAAAUGCUCCACUACAAGAUGGACCUGCGUUGUAUUAGCUAGUAGGUGAGGUAACGGCUCACCUAGGCGACGAUACAUAGCCGACCUGAGAGGGUGAUCGGCCACACUGGGACUGAGGCACGGACCAGAGUCCUACGGGAGGCAGCAGUAGGGAAUCUUCGGCAAUGGGAGCAACCCUGACCGAGCAACGCCGCGUGAGUGAAGAAGGUUUUCGGAUCGUAAAGCUCUGUUGUAAGUCAAGAACGAGUGUGAGAGUGGAAAGUUCACACUGUGACGGUAGCUUACCAGAAAGGGACGGCUAACUACGUGCCAGCCGCCGCAGUAA
RNAcentral lists this ribosomal RNA (513 nucleotides) under uncultured bacterium. Its description in RNAcentral is "partial 16S ribosomal RNA". It matches the Rfam family "Bacterial small subunit ribosomal RNA", at positions 28 to 523 of the family's 1533-position model. The record is from RNAcentral.